UACGAGGGGGGCGAGCGUUGUUCGGAAUUAUUGGGCGUAAAGGGUGCGUAGGCGGUUCGGUAAGUCUCAUGUGAAAUCUACAGGCUCAACUUGUAGUCUGCAUGAGAAACUGCCGGGCUUGAGUAUGGGAGAGGUGAGUGGAAUUCCUGGUGUAGCGGCGAAAUGCGUAGAUAUCAGGAGGAACACCUGUGGCGAAAGCGGCUCACUGGACCAUAACUGACGCUGAUGCACGAAAGCUAGGGGAGCAAACAGG
Molecule: ribosomal RNA, 253 nt
Filed under: uncultured bacterium
Lineage: Bacteria
Description: partial 16S ribosomal RNA
Rfam family: Bacterial small subunit ribosomal RNA
Source: RNAcentral